UACGAAGGGGGCUAGCGUUGUUCGGAAUUACUGGGCGUAAAGCGCGUGUAGGCGGGUCUUUAAGUCAGGGGUGAAAUCCCGGGGCUCAACCCCGGAACUGCCCUUGAAACUGGAGAGCUGGAAUCUUGGAGAGGCGAGUGGAAUUCCGAGUGUAGAGGUGAAAUUCGUAGAUAUUCGGAAGAACACCAGUGGCGAAGGCGACUCGCUGGACAAGUAUUGACGCUGAGGUGCGAAAGCGUGGGGAGCAAACAGG
This 253-nucleotide ribosomal RNA is filed under the name uncultured bacterium. RNAcentral describes it as "partial 16S ribosomal RNA". It matches the Rfam family "Bacterial small subunit ribosomal RNA", at positions 524 to 776 of the family's 1533-position model. The record is from RNAcentral.